UAGGGAAUAUUAGUAAUGGGCGAAAGCCUGAACUAGCAACGCCGCGUGUGCGAAGAAGGCCUUCGGGUUGUAAAGCACUUUUUGAGGGGAUGUGGAAGGACGGUACUCUCAGAAUAAGUCUCGGCUAACUACGUGCCAGCAGCCGCGGUAACACGUAGGAGGCAAACGUUAUCCGGAUUUACUGGGCGUAAAGCGCGUGUAGGUGGUUUGGUAAGUAGGGCGUGAAAGCUCCUGGCUCAACUGGGAGAGGACGUCCUAAACUGCCAAGCUUGAGGAUGGUAGAGGGAGGUGGAAUUCCGGGUGUAGCGGUGGAAUGCGCAGAUAUCCGGAGGAACACCAGUGGCGAAGGCGGCCUCCUGGACCACUCCUGACACUCAGACGCGAAAGCUAGGGUAGCAAACGG
RNAcentral lists this ribosomal RNA (403 nucleotides) under uncultured bacterium. Its description in RNAcentral is "bacterial SSU rRNA". It matches the Rfam family "Bacterial small subunit ribosomal RNA", at positions 355 to 775 of the family's 1533-position model. The record is from RNAcentral.